RNAcentral lists this ribosomal RNA (493 nucleotides) under uncultured bacterium. RNAcentral describes it as "partial 16S ribosomal RNA". It matches the Rfam family "Bacterial small subunit ribosomal RNA", at positions 29 to 523 of the family's 1533-position model. The record is from RNAcentral.
AUUGAACGCUGGCGGCAUGCUUUACACAUGCAAGUCGAACGGUAACAGGUUAAGCUGACGAGUGGCGAACGGGUGAGUAAUGCAUCGGAACGUGCCCGAUCGUGGGGGAUAACGCAGCGAAAGCUGCGCUAAUACCGCAUACGAUCUGAGGAUGAAAGCGGGGGACCGUAAGGCCUCGCGCGAUCGGAGCGGCCGAUGUCAGAUUAGGUAGUUGGUGGGGUAAAGGCCCACCAAGCCGACGAUCUGUAGCUGGUCGGAGAGGACGACCAGCCACACUGGGACUGAGACACGGCCCAGACUCCUACGGGAGGCAGCAGUGGGGAAUUUUGGAAAAUGGGCGAAAGCCUGAUCCAGCAAUGCCGCGUGCAGGAAGAAGGCCUUCGGGUUGUAAACUGCUUUUGUACGGAGCGAAAAGGUCCUUUCUAAUACAAGGGGCUCAUGACGGUACCGUAAGAAUAAGCACCGGCUAACUACGUGCCAGCCGCCGCAGUAA